RNAcentral lists this long non-coding RNA (650 nucleotides) under Anas platyrhynchos platyrhynchos (common mallard). RNAcentral describes it as "lncRNA (ENSAPLG00000029710.1)". Lineage: Eukaryota; Metazoa; Chordata; Aves; Anseriformes; Anatidae. The record is from RNAcentral.
AAUAAAAUAAAUCAAUAAUAUACUUUUAAAUAAAAUACAGUAAAGUCAACCCAUCAUUUUCAAACUUGAAAAGUGCAUUUUUAUCUUAGAAAUCUAUAAUUAUCAAAACAGCAGUUUAAAAAAAAAAAAAAAGGAAAUUCAGCUUUUUCUUGAUUCUAGAGAGGUCUUGGAGUUAUGGAAGAACAAUCACCCUGUUACUGAUGAACAAGAGAUAAAAUAAUAAUAUUAAUACAUUUUCUUGAAUCCUUUAAAGUUUUAUAAAUUGCCCAUGGAGGUUUGUGAACCAAGGUCACUGUGUUUCUUUUCAUUCUUUUAAUUAUCUAGUUCCAGCCUGAUACACUAGCCUUACUAAUUGGACACAGAGAAAUCCCUUAUCAGAGAAGUUAGAAAAGGACCUAUAUAAAGGGUGUGGAAGACUGCUGUAAAUCAAAGAAGAGGAACUGAACAGAAGGAAAGCCAAUCAACUGUACCCCUCCGAGCUGUGAACAUAGAGGAAAAGCAGAGUCUCGUUGGAUGGAGGUAUAAGUGGCCAGCAGCUGCUGACAGAACGCAGAGAGAUUUGGAGUUUGUGUACAUCAUGUCAAUUGCAAACAGCCAUGAAGUUCUUUUGCACUGACAAGUUGAGAACAGUUCAGGAACUUGUUGCAUCA